CCUCGGCCUUUGUCGAGACAACAGUGUUUCAAGACACAUUCCCUGCUCUGGAACCCUCCUUUCUGAGGAGCUGUUGCAGUAAGAGACGCUGGUGACUCCAGAAGCCCACACCUGCGCUUCCAGGUGCGUCUCGCUUCCUUCUGAGGGCCUCUUUCUUCAGUUCCAUGCUCAGACCUACAUUAAAUUAUUUUUAUUGGGGCUGGAGAGAAGCUCAGUGGUUAAGAGCACUGGCUGCUCUUGCAAAGGCCUGGGUUCAGUUCCCAGCACUCACAAGGAGGCUCACGACCAUCUGUAAUACUGGUUCCAGGGGAUCCAACACUUCUGGCCUCCAAAAGCACCAGGCAUGCAUGGGGUGCACACACAUACAUGCAGACUCAUACACACUUUUUUAAAAUCUAAAAACAAUGCUUAUUAAGCCCCAAUUCUACUUCAUUGGAAAAAGAAAUACACUGGUAGCAAUGGCUACCCAUGGGGAGAGUCAUUUCAGGAGACUUUCACUACGUUCUGUACCUUUCUAUGCUUUUUCAGUUUGGAGCCUUACGACAAUAUUACCUAUUUUACCAGAGAUUAACUACAUUAAAAAUAAAAAUCUACCCUGUGUUUA
Molecule: long non-coding RNA, 604 nt
Organism: Peromyscus leucopus (white-footed mouse)
Lineage: Eukaryota; Metazoa; Chordata; Mammalia; Rodentia; Cricetidae
Exons: 2
Source: RefSeq, a predicted model, not a curated record